RNAcentral lists this transfer RNA (72 nucleotides) under Camelus bactrianus (Bactrian camel). It matches the Rfam family "tRNA". From Rfam's summary of the family: Transfer RNA (tRNA) molecules are approximately 80 nucleotides in length. Their secondary structure includes four short double-helical elements and three loops (D, anti-codon, and T loops). Further hydrogen bonds mediate the characteristic L-shaped molecular structure. tRNAs have two regions of fundamental functional importance: the anti-codon, which is responsible for specific mRNA codon recognition, and the 3' end, to which the tRNAs corresponding amino acid is attached (by aminoacyl-tRNA synthetases). tRNAs cope with the degeneracy of the genetic code in two manners: having more than one tRNA (with a specific anti-codon) for a particular amino acid; and 'wobble' base-pairing, i.e. permitting non-standard base-pairing at the 3rd anti-codon position. Lineage: Eukaryota; Metazoa; Chordata; Mammalia; Artiodactyla; Camelidae. The record is from Rfam by way of RNAcentral. RNAcentral also lists the same sequence under 2 other names.
GAUGGUAUACCUCAGUGGCAGAGUGCAUGCUUAGCAUGCAAGAGGUCCUGGGUUCAAUUCCCAGUACCUCCG